CCUGCCCCUAAGUCUGGGAUACCAUUUGGAAACAGGUGCUAAUACCGGAUAAUAAAGCAGAUCGCAUGAUCAGCUUUUGAAAGGCGGCGUAAGCUGUCGCUAAGGGAUGGCCCCGCGGUGCAUUAGCUAGUUGGUAAGGUAACGGCUUACCAAGGCGACGAUGCAUAGCCGAGUUGAGAGACUGAUCGGCCACAUUGGGACUGAGACACGGCCCAAACUCCUACGGGAGGCAGCAGUAGGGAAUCUUCCACAAUGGACGCAAGUCUGAUGGAGCAACGCCGCGUGAGUGAAGAAGGUUUUCGGAUCGUAAAGCUCUGUUGUUGGUGAAGAAGGAUAGAGGUAGUAACUGGCCUUUAUUUGACGGUAAUCAACCAGAAAGUCACGGCUAACUACGUGCCAGCAGCCGCGGUAAUACGUAGGUGGCAAGCGUUGUCCGGAUUUAUUGGGCGUAAAGCGAGCGCAGGCGGAAAAAUAAGUCUAAUGUGAAAGCCCUCGGCUUAACCGAGGAACUGCAUCGGAAACUGUUUUUCUUGAGUGCAGAAAGAGGAGAGUGGAACUCCAUGUGUGGCGGUGGAAUGCGUAGAUAUAUGGAAGAACACCCAGUGGCGAAGGCGGCUCUCUGGUCUGCAACUGACGCUGAGGCUCGAAAGCAUGGGUUAGCGAACAAGAUUAGAUACCCUGGGUAGUCCCAUGCCCGUAAACGAUGAGUGCUUAAGUGUUGGGGAGGUUUCC
Molecule: ribosomal RNA, 732 nt
Filed under: uncultured bacterium
Lineage: Bacteria
Description: bacterial SSU rRNA
Rfam family: Bacterial small subunit ribosomal RNA
Source: RNAcentral